RNAcentral lists this long non-coding RNA (1070 nucleotides) under Anas platyrhynchos platyrhynchos (common mallard). Its description in RNAcentral is "lncRNA (ENSAPLG00000019731.1)". Lineage: Eukaryota; Metazoa; Chordata; Aves; Anseriformes; Anatidae. The record is from RNAcentral.
GUUCUCAGCACCCAUGGGUGCUCGGUGGUGGUCCCAUGGUUGGUGUCAUCUUGUUCUUGGCACCCAUGGGUGCUCUGGGGUGGGUUUCUGGUGGUGUCAUCUUGUUCUUGGCACCCAUGGGUGCUCUGGGGUGGGUUUGCAGUGUUGUGUCCUCCUCAGCACCCAUGGGUGCUCCAUGGUGGCCUUCAGGGUGCUUUUGAUGUCCUCUUUGGCACCCAUGGGUGCUCCCUGGUGGUCCCAUGGGUGGCGUCAUCUUGUUCUUGGCACCCAUGGGUGCUCCAUGGUGGCCUUCAGGGUGGUUUUGAUAUCCUCAGCACCCAUGGGUGCUCGGUGGUGGUCCCAUGGGUGGUGUCACGUUGUUCUCAGCACCCAUGGGUGCUCGUGGUGGUCUCAUGAGUUUCUGGGUGGUGCUGUGUCAUCCUUGGCACCCAUGGGUGCUCCGUGGUUGCCUUCCAGAUGGUGUUAUGUCCUCCUCGGCACCCAUGGGUGCUCGGUGGUGGUCCCAUGGGUGGUGUCAUCUUGUUCUUGGCACCCAUGGGUGCUUGGUGGUGGCCUUCUGGGUGGUUUUGAUGUCCUCAGCACCCAUGGGUGCUCAGCGGUGCCUGGAGGCAUUGGCCUGAGGGCUUUGUGGCCAAUGGGUGCUGCUGGUGACCCAUGGGUGCCCCCAUGACCCAUGGGUGCUCUUGGUGGUCAAUGGGUGCUCCCCAUGACCCAUGGGUGCUGCUGGUGGUCCCAUGGGUGCCCCCCCUGCCCAAGGCCUGACCCCGCUGCCUGUGGGCAUCUCCAGGACUUGCGCACCCGAAACACCUCGGGGUGCCCCGCAGCACCUUGGGGUGCCCCAAUAACACCCCCAAGGCGCCCCAUAGCACCCUUGGGUGCCCCAUAGCACCUUUGGGUGCCCUAUAACCACCUCAGGGCGCCCCCUACCACCCCUUAGACCACCCCCUACCACCUUGGGGCACCCCAUAACACCCUCAAGGCACCCUGUAGCACCUUUGGGUGCCCCAUAACACCCCUUAGACCACCCCCUACCACCUCAAGGUGCCCCAGAGCACCCUCAAGACACCCCA